Molecule: long non-coding RNA, 1897 nt
Organism: Pseudopipra pipra
Lineage: Eukaryota; Metazoa; Chordata; Aves; Passeriformes; Pipridae
Exons: 2
Source: RefSeq, a predicted model, not a curated record
UAGGAUUCCCCAGGCUUUGAAUCCUGCCCAUCCAGCACAGUACCUCUUUUAAACUGCUACUCAUUAUUCAGGAAAGGUAUUAAAGAACAUUGCAGUCAGGACAACUUUGCUUAAAACAUGGUGUUUUCAGCUAAGCUUACCCAGGCAGAGCUUGGUGCAGCACACACUGACUGCAAACUGCCCAGAGGAGAGACAGCCUGGCAAAAAGUCACACAGCACAACCAACCAGCCAGGGCUUUCAUGACAAGCUACUGCUCCUUGGCAACAGACUCCAGAACUGCCAACAACAAGAGCUUCACCCCAGAACCACACAAAGAAAGAUAAAACUUCACCUGGACCUCCAUAUGGACACAAAGCCCUUGCUUCCAGCCCGCCAAAAUCAAAUAAAGUCUAUGAAACAAGUCACAACAUCAGUACCACACUUCAGCAAAUCACAUAACUUCCAGACAAUGCAUGGGUUUUAUGCAGAUUGUAUCUUAACACCACCUAACUAUGCACAGCUGUGCAGGAUUCAAGAAGUUUAGCAAGGAACCCUUUCAAUAACGUAAAUCAUGGCAAAAAAAACCCUAAAAAAACCAAAACAAUCAAACUUUCUCUGGUGGAGAAGCACACACUCCAUCAGGAAUGAGAUUAGCCCGAGAUGUGAGAAGGGAUUGGAGCUAUUCUGGCUCUGAGGAGGAACCAGCACUGUGGAUGAGAGUUCACAGAUGAGUGAGUACAAAGAAACUGUGUGGGAAGGAACAAGAGCUUGCACAGCACACAUCUGUCAGCUCUAUCAGAUUCCCAGCUCAAACUCCAGCAUCAAUAGACACCCCAUGGAUUUUGCAUGACUUGCUGAAGGUCUAUGCAACUGUAAAUUACCAUGCUGAUUGCACCAAUGUAUACAUAAAAAUCUCUAUUUCUGGGAGACAGAAUACAGAUAAUACUCCUCAUUUGAAUUUUCUUUGUGAUUAUUAAUGUAAAAAUUGAAGCAUCAUUUAAUAUUAGUUACUAACACAGUUAUAAAUAGUUAACUGCCACAGAACAUUGUGUGAAAGAAAGCAACCAAAUGGAAAGAUUUUCUGUGACAGGUCUGUGGGUUUAAUCCAUUCUGUGGCACACUGCAAACCUAUCAGAGAAACAGCAGCAUGUCAGGUGUGUGCUGGUUGUAACAAAGCUGCCACUGCACUACGUGGGACAUUGCUGAGCUGUGGGCCAUGUGCUGCAAAAUAACACAGCCCAGGUCUGCUUUCUCAAGGAAUAGUUUGGGGUGAAUGACAACCCUUAUCCUGCACAGGGACAGCCAAUCCAUAGCCUAGGGGAAACAAACCACUUUUUUUUAGUGAGGUGAGCUUUGGGUGACCCAUCCCUGCAGGAGCAUCACACCAGGGCAAGGUGAAGGAUGGUCACAGCCUCACCUGAAACAGCACCCAAACCCACCAGCCCCCCUUCUAUAGCUGGGCCACUGCUGAAUUCAAGUGAAGUCUUACCACUGAUGUCAGUGACAGUAAAAAUCACCGUUCUCAUGAAAACAGGGCUCCUUUGGGACCUCUAGAACAAAUGAGCCUGUGACACAGUGAGAACAUUUCUCCUGGCUUCACUCAGCCCUGGCCCAGGGCAGGAGUGUACAAAGAGCCCUUCACACCUGACCUAAAUUAGUCCACCAGGUUUGCAGACCCCUCCUCAAAUCUUCUUCCAAGCCCACUGAACAGCAGCGUGGUUGUACCUUCUGGAGGGAAGAGCAGCUUUGUUUUGUGCUUUCUUUAAAGAGAGAAGGUCCUCAGUUUAUCUGGGAUUUCUGGUUGUACAUCUUUGAAUUUAAGUGUUUAGUUAUCUUUGAAUUCAGAUCUUUAUGUGACCAUGGCAAAACUACAGUUAUAUCCUUUAUAUGUAUAAACGUAUAUACACUGAAAUUGGA